RNAcentral lists this ribosomal RNA (324 nucleotides) under uncultured eukaryote. Its description in RNAcentral is "partial 18S ribosomal RNA". It matches the Rfam family "Eukaryotic small subunit ribosomal RNA", at positions 1470 to 1796 of the family's 1831-position model. The record is from RNAcentral.
CCCUUAGAUGUUCUGGGCUGCACGCGCGCUACACUGAAGCUAUCAACACGUUUUCCCUCCCUGAGAAGGGCGGGUAACCUUUUGAAUCAGCGUCGUGGUAGGGAUCGGGGCUUGCAAUUGUUCCCCGUGAACCAGGAAUUCCUAGUAGACGCGAGUCAUAAGCUCGCAUCGAUUAAGUCCCUGCCCUUUGUACACACCGCCCGUCGCUACUACCGAUUGAACGUUUUAGUGAGGCAUUUGGACCGACGCAUCUCAGUUUAACCGCUGGUUUGUGUUGGAAAGACUUCCAAACUUGAGCGUUUAGAGGAAGUAAAAGUCGUAACA